CCUUAAAUUCAGGGUCCAGCUCACAUGGGAAAUACUUUCUGAGAGUCCUGGACCUCCUGUGCAAGAACAUGAAACAUCUGUGGUUCUUCCUUCUCCUGGUGGCAGCUCCCAGAUGGGUCCUGUCCCAGCUGCAGCUGCAGGAGUCGGGCCCAGGACUGGUGAAGCCUUCACAGACCCUGUCCCUCACCUGCACUGUCUCUGGUGGCUCCAUCAGCAGUGGUAGUUACUACUGGAGCUGGAUCCGGCAGCCCGCCGGGAAGGGACUGGAGUGGAUUGGGUAUAUCUAUUAUAGUGGGAGCACCUACUACAACCCAUCCCUCAAGAGUCGAGUCACCAUAUCAGUAGACACGUCCAAGAACCAGUUCUCCCUGAAGCUGAGCUCUGUGACCGCCGCAGACACGGCCGUGUAUUACUGUGCGAGAGACACAGUGAGGGGAGGUGCAGGCAGAGAAGAGGCCAUGUGGAGACAUAGUGCACUAGAAGGUGGCCCAGUGCAAGCCAGGAAGAAGCCGCGCCAAGAACCAGCCCUGCCAGCACACUAAUCUUCAACAUUCAGA
Molecule: non-coding RNA, 557 nt
Organism: Pan troglodytes (chimpanzee)
Lineage: Eukaryota; Metazoa; Chordata; Mammalia; Primates; Hominidae
Source: the annotation of a RefSeq genome assembly